This is a microRNA precursor of Laticauda laticaudata (blue-ringed sea krait), 76 nucleotides long. Ensembl annotates it as microRNA 183. Its record names the gene MIR183. NCBI's taxonomy places the organism in Eukaryota, Metazoa, Chordata, Lepidosauria, Squamata, Elapidae. The record is from Ensembl.
CUGUUCUGUGUAUGGCACUGGUAGAAUUCACUGUGAAAACACUCGAUCAGUGAAUUACAAAGGGCCAUAAACGGAG